Molecule: ribosomal RNA, 253 nt
Filed under: uncultured bacterium
Lineage: Bacteria
Description: partial 16S ribosomal RNA
Rfam family: Bacterial small subunit ribosomal RNA
Source: RNAcentral
UACAGAGGGUGCAAGCGUUGUCCGGAAUCACUGGGUGUAAAGGGCGCGUAGGCGGCCUGGUAAGUAGGGGGUGAAAUUCUGCGGCUCAACCGCAGGACUGCCUUCUAAACUGUCAGGCUUGAGCACGGUAGAGGCUGGUGGAAUUCCCGGUGUAGCGGUGGAAUGCGUAGAGAUCGGGAAGAACAUCGGUGGCGAAGGCGGCCAGCUGGGCCGUUGCUGACGCUGAGGCGCGACAGCGUGGGGAGCAAACAGG